GGGAAACUCACCAGGUCCAGACAUGACUAGGAUUGACAGAUUGAUAGCUCUUUCAUGAUUUUAUGGGUGGUGGUGCAUGGCCGUUCUUAGUUGGUGGAGUGAUUUGUCUGGUUAAUUCCGAUAACGAACGAGACCUUAACCUGCUAAAUAGCCCGGCCGGCUUUUGCUGGUCGCUGGCUUCUUAGAGGGACUGUCUGCGUCUAGCAGACGGAAGUUUGAGGCAAUAA
This 227-nucleotide ribosomal RNA is filed under the name uncultured eukaryote. RNAcentral's name for it is "partial small subunit ribosomal RNA". It matches the Rfam family "Eukaryotic small subunit ribosomal RNA", at positions 1208 to 1456 of the family's 1831-position model. The record is from RNAcentral.